RNAcentral lists this ribosomal RNA (460 nucleotides) under uncultured bacterium. Its description in RNAcentral is "partial 16S ribosomal RNA". It matches the Rfam family "Bacterial small subunit ribosomal RNA", at positions 338 to 795 of the family's 1533-position model. The record is from RNAcentral.
CCUACGGGAGGCAGCAGUGAGGAAUAUUGGUCAAUGGACGAGAGUCUGAACCAGCCAAGUAGCGUGAAGGAUGACUGCCCUAUGGGUUGUAAACUUCUUUUAUAUGGGAAUAAAAUGUUCACCGUGUGGGAUUUUGUAUGUACCAUAUGAAUAAGGAUCGGCGAACUCCGUGCCAGCAGCCGCGGUAAUACGGAGGAUCCGAGAGUUAUCCGGAUUUAUUGGGUUUAAAGGGAGCGUAGGUGGAUUGUUAAGUAAGUUGUGAAAGUGUGCGGCUCAACCGUAAAAUUGCAGUUGAAACUGGCAGUCUUGAGUACAGUAGAGGUGGGCGGAAUUCGUGGUGUAGCGGUGAAAUGCUUAGAUAUCACGAAGAACUCCGAUUGCGAAGGCAGUUCACUGGACUGCAACUGACACUGAGGCUCGAAAGUGUGGGUAUCAAACAGGAUUAGAUACCCGGGUAGUC